This 253-nucleotide ribosomal RNA is filed under the name uncultured bacterium. Its description in RNAcentral is "partial 16S ribosomal RNA". It matches the Rfam family "Bacterial small subunit ribosomal RNA", at positions 524 to 776 of the family's 1533-position model. The record is from RNAcentral.
UACGUAGGGACCGAGCGUUGUCCGGAUUCAUUGGGCGUAAAGAGCUCGUAGGCGGCCACUCAAGUCGAAUGUGAAACCUCGAGGCUCAACCUCGAGCCUGCAUUCGAUACUGGGCGGCUAGAGUCUGGUAGGGGGAUCUGGAAUUCCUGGUGUAGCGGUGGAAUGCGCAGAUAUCAGGAGGAACACCGGUGGCGAAGGCGGGAUCCUGGGCCGAUACUGACGCUGAGGAGCGAAAGCGUGGGGAGCGAACAGG